AGAAGACUUUAAGAGAUGAAUAGGUAAGGGGAAUGACAGAAAUAUCUCUUCACAGCUGAGUGUGGGAGUGUGUGCCUGUGAUCCCAGCUGAGUGUGGGAGUGUGUGCCUGUGAUCCCAGCUGAGUGUGGCAGUGUGUGCCUAUGAUCCCAGGUGAGUGUGGGAGUGUGUGCCCGUGAUCCCAGCUGAGUGUGGCAGUGUGUGUCUAUGAUCCCAGGUGAGUGUGGGAGUGUGUGCCUGUGAUCCCAGCUGAGUGUGACAGUGUGUGUCUAUGAUCCCAGGUGAGUGUGGGAGUGUGUGCCUGUGAUCCCAGCUGAGUGUGGCAGUGUGUGCCUAUGAUCCCAGGUGAGUGUGGGAGUGUGUGCCUGUGAUCCCAGCUGAGUGUGACAGUGUGUGUCUAUGAUCCCAGGUGAAUGUGGGAGUGUGUGCCCGUGAUCCCAGCUGAGUGUGGCAGUGUGUGCCUAUGAUCCCAGGUGAGUGUGGGAGUGUGUGCCUGUGAUCCCAGCUGAGUGUGACAGUGUGUGUCUAUGAUCCCAGGUGAGUGUGGCAGUGUGUGCCUGUGAUCCCAGCUGAGUGUGGCAGUGUGUGCCCAUGAUCCCAGGUGAGUGUGGGAGUGUGUGCCUGUGAUCCCAGCUGAGUGUGGCAGUAUGUGCCCAUGAUCCCAGGUGAGUGUGGGAGUGUGUGCCUGUGAUCCCAGCUGAGUGUGGCAGUGUGUGCCCAUGAUCCCAGCUGAGUGUGGGAGUGUGUGCCUGUGAUCCCAGCUGAGUGUGGCAGUGUGUACCUGUGAUCCCAGCUGAGUGUGGCAGUGUGUGCCUGUGAUCCCAGCUGAGUGUGGCAGUGUGUGCCUGUGAUCCCAGCUGAGUGUGGCAGUGUGUGCCUAUGAUCCCAGCUGAAUAUGGUAGUGUGGGUUUAUACUACCAGAUGAAUAUGACAGUGUGUGCUUAUAAUCCCAUAAUGUUGGAGGUAGAGGCAAAAUAAUCAAGAAUUCAA
Molecule: long non-coding RNA, 988 nt
Organism: Apodemus sylvaticus (European woodmouse)
Lineage: Eukaryota; Metazoa; Chordata; Mammalia; Rodentia; Muridae
Exons: 3
Source: RefSeq, a predicted model, not a curated record